RNAcentral lists this small RNA (125 nucleotides) under Marmota monax (woodchuck). Lineage: Eukaryota; Metazoa; Chordata; Mammalia; Rodentia; Sciuridae. The record is from RNAcentral.
GCCAGGUGCUGUGGUGUACACCUGUAAUCCCAGCUGCUCAGGAGACUGAGACAGGAGGAUCAGGAGUUCACAGCCAGCCUCAGCAAAAGAGAGGGGCUAAGCAAUUCAGUUAGACCCUGUCUCUA